CGAAGAACGGUCAAUAGCUCUCUGGAAAAGAACAUAUUUUCCUGUUGUGAAUAAGGAGAUUAUCCUCGUGAGACGAUGUUAAUAUGAGAAUGUCGUCGACAUAUCAGGCGAAAAAGGCACAGGUGUGACAGCUGUUGAGUGCCUUUCAUUCUAACCGGUCUGUGUAUGUGAUGGUUAGUAGGCCUGACAAACUUGAUCCCAACGACAGUCCAGAGAUUAGUUUGUAAAUGGAUCCUUCGAAAUGGAAGAUGUUGUUGUACAUAAGUAUGAAGCUUGGCACAAAAAAGAAACACGUCAAGAAAAACAACUUCAAUUAAAAGAAAUAUUAAAAAACUGUUGAGGCUUGAUAGGCAGGCUGACUUGUGACAAACGAACGCCCAACGCUACCGGAGCUUCACACUAUG
Octopus bimaculoides (California two-spot octopus) is the source of this 404-nucleotide long non-coding RNA. RefSeq lists it as uncharacterized. The record is from RefSeq and is a predicted model, not a curated record. Lineage: Eukaryota; Metazoa; Mollusca; Cephalopoda; Octopoda; Octopodidae.